AGGGAAUCUUCCACAAUGGACGCAAGUCUGAUGGAGCAACGCCGCGUGAGUGAAGAAGGUUUUCGGACCGUAAAGCUCUGUUGUUGGUGAAGAAGGAUAGAGGUAGUAACUGGCCUUUAUUUGACGGUAAUCAACCAGAAAGUCACGGCUAACUACGUGCCAGCAGCCGCGGUAAUACGUAGGUGGCAAGCGUUGUCCGGAUUUAUUGGGCGUAAAGCGAGCGCAGGCGGAAGAAUAAGUCUGAUGUGAAAGCCCUCGGCUUAACCGAGGAAUUGCAUCGGAAACUGUUUUUCUUGAGUGCAGAAGAGGAGAGUAGAAACUCCAUGUGUAGCGGUGGAAUGCGUAGAUAUAUGGAAGAAUACCAGUGGCGAAGGCGGCUCUCUGGUCUGCAACUGACGCUGAGGCUCGAAAGCAUGGUAGCGAACAGGAUUAGAUACCCUGUAGUCCAUGCCGUAAACGAUGAGUGCUAAGUGUUGGGAGGCUUCCGCCUCUCAGUGCUGCAGCUAACGCAUUAAGCACUCCGCCUGGGGGAGUACGACCGCAAGGUUGAAAC
This 553-nucleotide ribosomal RNA is filed under the name uncultured bacterium. Its description in RNAcentral is "partial 16S ribosomal RNA". It matches the Rfam family "Bacterial small subunit ribosomal RNA", at positions 356 to 900 of the family's 1533-position model. The record is from RNAcentral.